Molecule: ribosomal RNA, 514 nt
Filed under: uncultured bacterium
Lineage: Bacteria
Description: partial 16S ribosomal RNA
Rfam family: Bacterial small subunit ribosomal RNA
Source: RNAcentral
GAUGAACGCUGGCGGCGUGCCUAAUACAUGCAAGUCGAGCGAACAGAUGAGAAGCUUGCUUCUCUGAUGUUAGCGGCGGACGGGUGAGUAACACGUGGGUAACCUACCUAUAAGACUGGGAUAACUCCGGGAAACAGGGGCUAAUACCGGAUAAUAUUUUGAACCGCAUGGUUCAAUAGUGAAAGACGGUUUCGGCUGUCACUUAUAGAUGGACCCGCGCCGUAUUAGCUAGUUGGUAAGGUAAUGGCUUACCAAGGCGACGAUACGUAGCCGACCUGAGAGGGUGAUCGGCCACACUGGAACUGAGACACGGUCCAGACUCCUACGGGAGGCAGCAGUAGGGAAUCUUCCGCAAUGGGCGAAAGCCUGACGGAGCAACGCCGCGUGAGUGAUGAAGGUCUUCGGAUCGUAAAACUCUGUUGUUAGGGAAGAACAAAUUUGUUAGUAACUGAACAAGUCUUGACGGUACCUAACCAGAAAGCCACGGCUAACUACGUGCCAGCAGCCGCCGCCG